GCGUGGUCGAGCGGAGGAGCGUAGCGAUGUCCCGCGGCCCCACCUAUUCUUCUGGUGGCGCCUGGGGGACCCGUCGGGGUCUAGAAAAAGAGAGAGGGGGAGAGGUGUAGAGGGAGAGGCAGCUAGACCUUGCCCCGGCUUGCGGUGGCAGCGGUACUGGUGCCGUAUCUCCUCCGGUGGAUCGAGGGGGACGGAAGAACAGCUCAGGGAGGCGAGGCGGUAACGGAGGGCGUAGCGGACGAUGGCGACCCAGAUCGGCCCUUGGCGACACGGCUCGCGGUGCUCGAGCAGAAGAAGGAGCUGAGGCUGCUCUAGGAGGCUGCCUACGCGGUGGAGACGACGAGGAUUAGACAGCGGCCGGUAGAACACGGCGAGCUACAGUCUCGGAUCCUAGAUCUGCGGUGGAAACUGCUGCUGACGAUGAUGAUGCUCCCACGGAUGAUGAUGCACUUCUGGCGGCUGCUGGUCCUCAUCAAUCCUCCGAGGGUCCGUCCUCCGGAACGGAAAAGCUAGCAUCUACGAAAACACGAUCGGAAGAAUUCCGUUUUUACAAAUUGAGUACAGACAUGAGUCUAACAACGAAGGCGACUGAGAACACAUUAGCUCGAAUACAUAAGCUCGGGAGCUCCGGGGACCG
This 637-nucleotide ribosomal RNA is filed under the name Triticum aestivum (bread wheat). RNAcentral's name for it is "partial small subunit ribosomal RNA". The record is from RNAcentral. Lineage: Eukaryota; Viridiplantae; Streptophyta; Magnoliopsida; Poales; Poaceae.